AUCGCUUCUCGGCCUUUUGGCUAAGAUCAAGUGUAGUAUCUGUUCUUAUCAGUUUAAUAUCUGAUACGCCCUCUAUUCGAAGACAAUAUAUUAAAUGGAUUUUUGGAGCUGGGAGUCAGAAGAGGAGCUUGCUCGGCCCACUCCACGCAUCGACCUGGUAUUGCAGUACCUCUGGGAACAGUGCACCCCUC
Molecule: small nuclear RNA, 191 nt
Organism: Suncus etruscus (white-toothed pygmy shrew)
Lineage: Eukaryota; Metazoa; Chordata; Mammalia; Eulipotyphla; Soricidae
Product: U2 spliceosomal RNA
Exons: 1
Source: RefSeq, a predicted model, not a curated record